AGAACGAACGCUGGCGGCAGGCUUAACACAUGCAAGUCGAGCGCCCUGCAAGGGGAGCGGCGGACGGGUGAGUAACACGUGGGAACAUGCCCUUUGGUUCGGAACAACUCAGGGAAACUUGAGCUAAUACCGAAUGUGCCGGUAACGGGAAAGAUUUAUCGCCAAGGGAUUGGCCCGCGUCCGAUUAGCUAGUUGGUGAGGUAAAGGCUCACCAAGGCUCCGAUCGGUAGCUGGUUUGAGAGAACGACCAGCCACACUGGGACUGAGACACGGCCCAGACUCCUACGGGAGGCAGCAGUGGGGAAUCUUGGACAAUGGGGGAAACCCUGAUCCAGCCAUGCCGCGUGAGUGAUGAAGGCCUUCGGGUUGUAAACUCUUUCGACGGGGACGAUAAUGACGGUACCCGUAGAAGAAGCUCCGGCUAACUUCGUGCCAGCAGCCGC
RNAcentral lists this ribosomal RNA (443 nucleotides) under uncultured bacterium. RNAcentral describes it as "SSU rRNA". It matches the Rfam family "Bacterial small subunit ribosomal RNA", at positions 26 to 518 of the family's 1533-position model. The record is from RNAcentral.